GAUGAACGCUGGCGGCGUGCUUAACACAUGCAAGUCGAACGAAGCACUUUACUUGAUUUCUUCGGAAUGAUUGUUCUGUGACUGAGUGGGCGGACGGGUGAAGGUAACGGCCGUGGGUUAACCGUGCCCGUACAGGGGGAUAACAGUUAGAAAUGACUGCUAAUACCGCAUAAGCGCACGGUAUCGCAUGAUACAGUGUGAAAAACUCCGGUGGUAUGAGAUGGACCCGCGUCUGAUUAGCUAGUUGGUGAGGUAACGGCCCACCAAGGCGACGAUCAGUAGCCGACCUGAGAGGGUGACCGGCCACAUUGGGACUGAGACACGGCCCAA
Molecule: ribosomal RNA, 330 nt
Filed under: uncultured bacterium
Lineage: Bacteria
Description: bacterial SSU rRNA
Rfam family: Bacterial small subunit ribosomal RNA
Source: RNAcentral